AGGACGAACGCUGGCGGCGUGCUUCAUACAUGCAAGUCGAGCGCGGAGCUUGCUCCGAGCGGCGAACGGGUGAGUAACACGUGGGCAACCUGCCCUUGGCUCUGGGAUAACUCCGGGAAACCAGGGCUAAUACCGGAUAUGACCACCGGAGACAUCUUCUGGUGGUGGAAAGAAUUUCGGCCAAGGAUGGGCCCGCGGCCUAUCAGCUUGUUGGUGGGUAACGGCCUACCAAGGCGACGACGGGUAGCCGGCCUGAGAGGGCGACCGGCCACACUGGGACUGAGACACGGCCCAGACUCCUACGGGAGGCAGCAGUAGGGAAUAUUGCGCAAUGGGCGAAAGCCUGACGCAGCGACGCCGCGUGAGGGACGAAGGCCUUCGGGUUGUAAACCUCUUUCAGUGGGAACGAAAUUGACGGUACCGCAGAAGAAGCCCCGGCAACUACGUGCCAGCAGCCGC
This 459-nucleotide ribosomal RNA is filed under the name uncultured bacterium. RNAcentral describes it as "SSU rRNA". It matches the Rfam family "Bacterial small subunit ribosomal RNA", at positions 26 to 518 of the family's 1533-position model. The record is from RNAcentral.